This is an RNA transcript of Gossypium arboreum, 1446 nucleotides long. It is a transcript of the gene named alkylated DNA repair protein ALKBH8 homolog, with no coding region annotated. The record is from RefSeq and is a predicted model, not a curated record. The transcript has 8 exons. Lineage: Eukaryota; Viridiplantae; Streptophyta; Magnoliopsida; Malvales; Malvaceae.
AAAAUUUGGGCUAUAAUUUCAAGAUGUAUCGCGAAUUAACCCUAUUGUUUAAUUUCUCUCUCUUCUUUGGUUCUGCAUCUGCCGCCCUAUUUCUCCAUUAAAAUUCUUUCCGUUUCUAUUUGCAACCCAUAAUUUAUAUCUUCAAAUCACAAACCAACGUUGAUAGGCUACUCGUUAUCUCUAUUCCGAUUUUGUUAUAGGUUUCGAUAUGGUCAUACCCAGAUUUGUUCGUCCCAAAGAAGGAGAUAGCGAGUCAAGCCCAAACCUUUAUGUGGCAAACUGUGGCCCUGCGGUGGGACUUUCAUUUGACACCAUCGCAUCUGCGUUUAGCUCCUUUGGGGAGGUCAAAGGUGUGUACGCAGCUGAUGAAAGUGGUGCUCGUGUUAUUGUCUCUUUUCUUGAACCAGCCUCUGCUCACUCUGCUUUCAUUGCCUUGAAUGGCCGCCCUUGCCCUCACCUUGGAGGCCGCUCUUUACACAUCCGUCAUUCCAUUUUGCAACCACCGUCUUGCAGGGGAAUGGCGUCUGUUCCAGUCUCGCUAAACGCAUCGGAUUUAAAUAUUCCAGGACUCUAUUUGUUCCAUGACUUCAUCAGUGUUGUGGAAGAGGGGCAAUUGCUUCAAGCAGUUGAUACUGGAUCUUGGAUUAGUCUUUCCAAACGGAGGGUUCAGCACUAUGGAUAUAAAUUUUGUUAUGAUACUAGGAAUGUUGAUACAAAGCAGCAUUUGGGUGCACUUCCAUCAUUUGUUUCCUUUAUACUCGAGCGGAUUUCACUAUCUCCAGAUAUUCCUGAAAAACUGGAUUUGGACCAAUUGACGGUUAAUGAAUACCCACCUGGGGUGGGCUUGUCCCCGCACAUAGACACUCACUCAGCAUUUGAAGGAUUAAUUUUCAGCCUUUCACUAGCAGGGCCUUGCAUUAUGGAGUUCAGAAGAUAUACAGCAGGUUCAUGGGUUCCUAAAACUGCCUCUAUAAGUGGCACAGAAGUUGAAAAGCCUAAUAGUUGCUCGGAGGUUUCUAGGAAGGCUAUCUAUCUUCCUCCUCGGUCAAUGCUUCUUCUAUCUGGGGAGGCACGAUGUGCUUGGCAUCAUUAUAUUCCACAUCAUAAGAUAUACAGGCAGAAUUUUGAGAGGCUUGUGGUGUAAUUCGGAGAGAAACUUAAGGGGAAUCUUGAAAUCACUAACUUUCCUUCUUGCUGCUGCUUGAGAGUUGAGAUUUUCAUGCCAAUUAUAAGGUUUUAUUCUUUUACGUCUUUCGAAGAAAAUAAUAACUUGGUGAUCAGGUCAUAAGAAAGUACUGUAUGACUGUUAGAUAUUUUAUAACUUGAUUGACAAGGUGAACGAAACAAUGAUCAGAAGGGGUUCGAGAAGAGUAUCUUUCACAUUUCGUAAGGUAAGAAGAGGGCCUUGCCAAUGCGAAUUUCCCCAAUACUGUGACUCUCAAUCCC